GCCCCCAUAGCUCAACUGGAUAGAGCAAGCCCCUCCUAAGGGUUAGAUCUGCGUUCGAGUCGCGGUGGGGGUA
RNAcentral lists this transfer RNA (73 nucleotides) under Fibrobacter sp. Its description in RNAcentral is "tRNA-Arg". It matches the Rfam family "tRNA". From Rfam's summary of the family: Transfer RNA (tRNA) molecules are approximately 80 nucleotides in length. Their secondary structure includes four short double-helical elements and three loops (D, anti-codon, and T loops). Lineage: Bacteria; Pseudomonadati; Fibrobacterota; Fibrobacteria; Fibrobacterales; Fibrobacteraceae. The record is from RNAcentral.